CGCCUGGGGAGUACGGGUGAGGUAACGGCUCACCAAGGCAUCGACGGGUAGCUGGUCUGAGAGGAUGAUCAGCCACACUGGGACUGAGACACGGCCCAGACUCCUACGGGAGGCAGCAGUAGGGAAUAUUGCACAAUGGGCGCAAGCCUGAUGCAGCAACGCCGCGUGAGGGAUGACGGCCUUCGGGUUGUAAACCUCUUUUAGCAGGGAAGAAGCGAAAGUGACGGUACCUGCAGAAAAAGCACCGGCUAACUACGUGCCAGCAGCCGCGGUAAUACGUAGGGUGCAAGCGUUGUCCGGAAUUAUUGGGCGUAAAGAGCUCGUAGGCGGUUUGUCACGUCUGCUGUGAAAAUCCAAGGCUCAACCUUGGACUUGCAGUGGGUACGGGCAGGCUAGAGUGCGGUAGGGGAGAUGGGAAUUCCUGGUGUAGCGGUGGAAUGCGCAGAUAUCAGGAGGAACACCAAUGGCGAAGGCACAUCUCUGGGCCGUAACUGACGCUGAGGAGCGAAAGCGUGGGGAGCGAACAGGAUUAGAUACCCUGGUAGUCCACGCCGUAAACGGUGGGUGCUAGCUGUGGGCCACAUUCCACGUGGUCCGUGACGAAGUUAACACAUUAAGCACCCCGCCUGGGGAGUACGG
RNAcentral lists this ribosomal RNA (639 nucleotides) under uncultured Actinomycetes bacterium. RNAcentral's name for it is "bacterial SSU rRNA". It matches the Rfam family "Bacterial small subunit ribosomal RNA", at positions 234 to 885 of the family's 1533-position model. Lineage: Bacteria; Bacillati; Actinomycetota; Actinomycetes. The record is from RNAcentral.